GAUGAACGCUGGCGGCGUGCCUAAUACAUGCAAGUCGAGCGAACAGAUGAGGAGCUUGCUCCUCUGACGUUAGCGGCGGACGGGUGAGUAACACGUGGAUAACCUACCUAUAAGACUGGGAUAACUUCGGGAAACCGGAGCUAAUACCGGAUAAUAUAUUGAACCGCAUGGUUCAAUAGUGAAAGACGGUUUUGCUGUCACUUAUAGAUGGAUCCGCGCCGCAUUAGCUAGUUGGUAAGGUAACGGCUUACCAAGGCAACGAUGCGUAGCCGACCUGAGAGGGUGAUCAGCCACACUGGAACUGAGACACGGUCCAGACUCCUACGGGAGGCAGCAGUAGGGAAUCUUCCGCAAUGGGCGAAAGCCUGACGGAGCAACGCCGCGUGAGUGAUGAAGGUCUUCGGAUCGUAAAACUCUGUUAUUAGGGAAGAACAAAUGUGUAAGUAACUAUGCACGUCUUGACGGUACCUAAACAGAAAGCCACGGCUAACUACGUG
RNAcentral lists this ribosomal RNA (497 nucleotides) under uncultured bacterium. RNAcentral's name for it is "partial 16S ribosomal RNA". It matches the Rfam family "Bacterial small subunit ribosomal RNA", at positions 28 to 507 of the family's 1533-position model. The record is from RNAcentral.